GACGAACGCUGGCGGCGUGCCUAAUACAUGCAAGUUGAGCGCUGAAGGUUGGUACUUGUACCAACUGGAUGAGCAGCGAACGGGUGAGUAACGCGUGGGGAAUCUGCCUUUGAGCGGGGGACAACAUUUGGAAACGAAUGCUAAUACCGCAUAAAAACUUUAAACACAAGUUUUAAGUUUGAAAGGUGCAAUUGCAUCACUCAAAGAUGAUCCCGCGUUGUAUUAGCUAGUUGGUGAGGUAAAGGCUCACCAAGGCGAUGAUACAUAGCCGACCUGAGAGGGUGAUCGGCCACAUUGGGACUGAGACACGGCCCAAACUCCUACGGGAGGCAGCAGUAGGGAAUCUUCGGCAAUAGACGAAAGUCUGACCGAGCAACGCCGCGUGAGUGAAGAAGGUUUUCGGAUCGUAAAACUCUGUUGGUAGAGAAGAACGUUGGUGAGAGUGGAAAGCUCAUCAAGUGACGGUAACUACCCAGAAAGGGACGGCUAACUACGUG
RNAcentral lists this ribosomal RNA (497 nucleotides) under uncultured bacterium. Its description in RNAcentral is "partial 16S ribosomal RNA". It matches the Rfam family "Bacterial small subunit ribosomal RNA", at positions 28 to 507 of the family's 1533-position model. The record is from RNAcentral.